UAUUCGUGAAUAUCUUUCAUUCAGAUUUGUGUUUGUUUUUUUUUUCGUUUAAUCCGAUAACAUGGAAUUAUUAGAAAUAUUGGGCUAUAUGAUGGCAAUGAUCUUGGUGUAUAAAUCAAUCGUAUUCAUAACUGGUUUACUAUUGGUUAAUUAUGGACGAAAAAUUGGAUUAGGUGUUAAAUAUAUAUCGGAUAAUGGAGAAUUUGCCGUUAUUUCCGGUGCAACUGGUUCUAUUGGCCGAGAAUUUACUCAGGAAUUUGCAUCGAUGGGCUAUAAUCUGGUGUUAAUAGCACGUAAUGUUCAAAAACUUGAUCGCCUUGAGCAACAAAUACGAAAGAAAUAUAAUACGAUGAAACAUGUUAUCAAAAUAGCUGUUGAUGUAACCAAACCGGAAUCAUAUGAAAAGUUACGAAAGCAAUUAGCCGAAGUGAAUCCGAUUGUCGUCCUAGUGAACUGUACAUCAUGUUGUCCAGAACCGGAAAAAUUUUGGAAAUCUUCCGUAUCUAAACACGAUCUUAUUAUGAUCAAUGUAAUGGCGCCAUUGAUUAUUAUGGAUAUUUUGAUGCCACGUUUCGUUCAACAAAAUCGUGGCAUUGUAAUUAAUGUUGGUUCACAAGCGGGAGAUUUUCGUUUUCCAAAAUAUUCAACAUUUUCAGCUUGCAAAUCAUUUAUGCACACUUUGACGGAAACAGUAGCCACCGAAUGUAAUAAUUCGAAUGUAUACGUACAGACAGUGAAACCAUGUUUCAUAGCUAACACUCGAAAUUCACAGCCAACAUUUUUCCGAAUUCCAUCACGGCUAGUUGCUUAUUCAGCAUUGAUGACAGUUGGAUUUGAAUCCAGUCAUUAUGGACAUUGGAAACAUCGUUUAAGUGGUCUAAUUUUCAAUACAAUGAUAUUCAUUUUUGGCCAUCGUUGUACGACAUUCAUUACCGGUCUGUUCCUUCCCACAUACAUUCAAACAAUAGCUGGUCGUGAUCAUAAACGUACACCAUCAUCAAUGAAAAUUGAUGUUACUCCAUCACCAUUGACACCUUCAUCGCCAGUAUCCUCAUUAGAUGCCAUUGGUAGCGGUAGCAGUGCUGGUAAUACCAGUGAAGAACCAUCAGAUAUGGUGAUAGAUUUUAAUCAAGAUUAAAUCGGUAAAAAAAUAUGCUCCAACACCAUCACCAUUAGUCAAUGUGUAUGAUCAACAGUCAAACAAUAAAGAUGUGCUUUUUAAACUUACACCACCACCAUUGAUGGUCAAAUCUACAGCAACAAAGUCACCACAAUCACCAAAGCUUCAUAAUAGCAAGACUGUUUCUAAUGAAUCAGCUGAAGAUCAUCAUUUGAAAAAUGUCAAAAUGACAUGCAAAAUAUCUCAUCCACAACAACCGAUAAUUGUUGAUACACAAGAAAUGAAAACUAAAAAUCAUCUACCUGCGAAAACUUAUCGUAGCAAUAUUGAUGAUGAUAAUAAAAGCCAACUACAUAAUGGCCAUCCAUCAGAAAUUCAGCAAGAUCAGACGAUCAAGAUCAAAACAACAAAGAUAAUAUCAACAUUUUCAUCAUCAUCGGCAACAGAUAAUGUUGGUGGUGGUAAUGGUUUUGGUAGUGAAAAAACUAUAACCACAAAAACAACAACAACAACAACAAGAAGCAAACACAAAAAUCUGACAACAUUAAGAAAUCUGAAUUGAAUUGAAAAUUAUUUAAUAUAUCAGAGAGACCAAGAAAAAAAAGUAUACGACAAAAUCGAUUACUAGAAAUUGAUCGACAAAUCGAUUUUCAUUACGAUAAUUGAUCAAUAACAACAACAGCAACAACGAAAAUGACAAAAACGUAAACAGUGGACUGACUGGCUAUGCAUGAAUGUGACUGUCUUGUGUAUUACUACUGGGGUCCCUUUGGUGUUUUUUUAACAACGUAUGUUUCGUGGUGUGUUUGGUCUGGUGUGUGGUAUACUUAAGAUUAAAAAAAAUUCAGUUCAUUUUUUUGAUUGAUGAUCAUCAUUGUAAUUUUCAAAUAAUGAAUUCCACAAAUAAAUUGACUGAUCAGAAUGAAUAUCAUC
Molecule: non-coding RNA, 2053 nt
Organism: Dermatophagoides farinae (American house dust mite)
Lineage: Eukaryota; Metazoa; Arthropoda; Arachnida; Sarcoptiformes; Pyroglyphidae
Source: RefSeq, a predicted model, not a curated record